RNAcentral lists this ribosomal RNA (120 nucleotides) under uncultured bacterium. Its description in RNAcentral is "partial 16S ribosomal RNA". It matches the Rfam family "Bacterial small subunit ribosomal RNA", at positions 215 to 334 of the family's 1533-position model. The record is from RNAcentral.
GCGCUCGGGGAUGGGCCUGCGUCCUAUCAGCUGGUUGGUAGGGUAACGGCCUACCAAGGCGACGACGGGUAGCUGGUCUGAGAGGAUGAUCAGCCACACUGGCACUGGAACACGGGCCAG